This 482-nucleotide ribosomal RNA is filed under the name uncultured eukaryote. RNAcentral describes it as "SSU rRNA". It matches the Rfam family "Eukaryotic small subunit ribosomal RNA", at positions 1302 to 1808 of the family's 1831-position model. The record is from RNAcentral.
UGGAGUGAUUUGUCUGGUUAAUUCCGUUAACGAACGAGACCUUAACCUGCUAAAUAGUGUACAGGACUUCGGUGCUUGACUUACUUCUUAGAGGGACUUCGUGUGUUUAACAUGAGGAAGUUUGAGGCAAUAACAGGUCUGUGAUGCCCUUAGAUGUCCUGGGCUGCACGCGCGCUACACUGAUGUGUCCAGUAAGCAUCUAACCUCAUCCGAAGGGAUCGGGUAACCUUUGCAACGCACAUCGUGAUGGGGACAGAUUAUUGCAAUUAUUAGUCUUGAACGAGGAAUUCCUAGUAACCACAAGUCAUCAGCUUGUGUUGAUUAUGUCCCUGCCCUUUGUACACACCGCCCGUCGCUCCUACCGAUUGAAUGAUCCGGUGAAUACUUCGGACUGCGAAAGGUGUAGAUUCUAUACUAUUCACAGAAAGUUGAAUAAACCUUAUCAUUUAGAGGAAGGAGAAGUCGUAACAAGGUUUCCGUAG